AGUGCGAGUCGAGCGGACAGAUGGGAGCUUGCUCCCUGAUGUUAGCGGCGGACGGGUGAGUAACACGUGGGUAACCUGCCUGUAAGACUGGGAUAACUCCGGGAAACCGGGGCUAAUACCGGAUGGUUGUUUGAACCGCAUGGUUCAAACAUAAAAGGUGGCUUCGGCUACCACUUACAGAUGGACCCGCGGCGCAUUAGCUAGUUGGUGAGGUAACGGCUCACCAAGGCGACGAUGCGUAGCCGACCUGAGAGGGUGAUCGGCCAAACUGGGACUGAGACACGGCCCAGACUCCUACGGGAGGCAGCAGUAGGGAAUCUUCCGCAAUGGACGAAAGUCUGACGGAGCAACGCCGCGUGAGUGAUGAAGGUUUUCGGAUCGUAAAGCUCUGUUGUUAGGGAAGAACAAGUACCGUUCGAAUAGGGCGGUACCUUGACGGUACCUAACCAGAAAGCCACGGCUAACUACGUGCCAGCAGCCGCGGUAAUACGUAGGUGGCAAGCGUUGUCCGGAAUUAUUGGGCGUAAAGGGCUCGCAGGCGGUUUCUUAAGUCUGAUGUGAAAGCCCCCGGCUCAACCGGGGAGGGUCAUUGGAAACUGGGGAACUUGAGUGCAGAAGAGGAGAGUGGAAUUCCACGUGUAGCGGUGAAAUGCGUAGAGAUGUGGAGGAACACCAGUGGCGAAGGCGACUCUCUGGUCUGUAACUGACGCUGAGGAGCGAAAGCGUGGGGAGCGAACAGGAUUAGAUACCCUGGUAGUCCACGCCGUAAACGAUGAGUGCUAAGUGUUAGGGGGGUUUCCGCCCCCUUAGUGCUGCAGCUAACGCAUUAA
RNAcentral lists this ribosomal RNA (830 nucleotides) under Bacillus subtilis subsp. subtilis. RNAcentral describes it as "bacterial SSU rRNA". It matches the Rfam family "Bacterial small subunit ribosomal RNA", at positions 55 to 863 of the family's 1533-position model. The record is from RNAcentral. Lineage: Bacteria; Bacillati; Bacillota; Bacilli; Caryophanales; Bacillaceae.